AACGUAGGAGACAAACGUUAUCCGGAGUUACUGGGCGUAAAGGGCGUGUAGGCGGUUUGUUAAGUCUGGCGUGAAAGCUCUCGGCUAAACCGGGAGAGGUCGUUGGAUACUGGCAAACUAGAGGACGGUAGAGGCGAGUGGAAUUCCCGGUGUAGCGGUGAAAUGCGCAGAUAUCGGGAGGAACACCAAUGGCGAAGGCAGCUCGCUGGGACGUUACUGACGCUGAGACGCGAAAGCGUGGGGAGCAAACAGG
This 253-nucleotide ribosomal RNA is filed under the name uncultured bacterium. RNAcentral's name for it is "partial 16S ribosomal RNA". It matches the Rfam family "Bacterial small subunit ribosomal RNA", at positions 524 to 776 of the family's 1533-position model. The record is from RNAcentral.